UGACAACAAAAGUUAUUUAAAAAAAUUAAUAAAAAAAAUCCAAAUGCUUCUUGUUAAAUUGAUUACUCAAAUAUUGUUCAGUAACAUAUUUUCAAAGAUUUUGAUCAAACAAUCUUAAUCUGGACCCCUGAUAAUAGAAUAAUUGGCUCAACUGGAUACUGCUAAUAAAACACUGUUAAUUCAGAGUUGCCUCUGAAGGUGGUCUCUGGAACACCACACCACAGAUUGCAUCAAAGGAAAAAUGUACAUCAAAGCAGAUGUGGUACACCACUUGAUUAUAAAUAUAAGGAUGUCCAAAGUUUAUGUCAUUAGUCCAAGUUGCGAUAUUACUGAUACAGUUUAACUCUUCAAAAUGUUCACUAAAGGUUAUACCCCAUAUUCCAAAGGCAGGAAAAGGUCAAAGAAAGACAACUCUUCCAGAAAUCCUAGUUGGUUCCAAGCUGGCACAAAGGUUAAAAGUGAAGGCCUGACGUCAAAACAGAUGCCGGAUUCAGCUGGUGCAUGUACUUCCUAUGUGCGGCAAACUUUACAAUCUCCAGACUGCAAAGAGGCAACUGGUCACAUCUGUACUCUUCGACCACAAGCUACUGCUGACCUGGAAAGAGAAGAAAGUAAAAUAUUACAUUCUGGCAUGAGGUAUAUAGACAGUCAACUAACAAUUAGCUUGAUCAACACUAAUAUUAAUAAGCACCAAGUGGACUCACCAUCCUGUCCUCAGUUUAUUUCUGACUAUCAUGAACAGAAAAAGUGGGGAACUUGCUGGCAGUAUACCUUGAAAUGCAUAAAUUGUGGUUUUAUUGGAGACAGAAUGAAGAUGUACAAGGAAAUAGAUAAUGGCAAACCAGGACCCAACCCAGGACAACCAAAUGUAGCCCUAGCAUCCGCUUUGCAGGACUGCCCAAUUGGAAAUACAACAGUGCAGCAACUACUUGCAGGAAUGGACACACCCCCACCAUGUAGAAGCAGUAUGCAACGCACAUCCAGC
RNAcentral lists this long non-coding RNA (985 nucleotides) under Mytilus galloprovincialis (Mediterranean mussel). The record is from RNAcentral. Lineage: Eukaryota; Metazoa; Mollusca; Bivalvia; Mytilida; Mytilidae.